Long non-coding RNA from Mus musculus (house mouse), 3987 nucleotides. RefSeq annotates it as predicted gene, 31025. The record is from RefSeq and is a predicted model, not a curated record. The transcript has 7 exons. Lineage: Eukaryota; Metazoa; Chordata; Mammalia; Rodentia; Muridae.
ACCUCAGCACUCUCAGGUGCCCGGGACCCUGCAGAGAAAUAGCAGAUUGACAGUCGAUUGUACACUUUGAACUUACACCGGCUUCCUCCCAGUGCCUUCCCAAAUUAAGUGAGAACAUGAGGGAAAAUUGAAUCUUGAGGAAGAAUGUGUUCCGAGGCAGAAUGUUCUAGUUUUGUUUCUCUUGCUGUGAUAAAAUAUCCUGACAAAAGACAACUUAGAGAAGACAGUGUCAUUUGAGUCCAAUUCCAGGUUAAAGACCAUUAGUGUAGGACAUCAAAGAAGGAACCUAAAACCCAGUAUCCACAGUUAAGAGAAGAAAGGAAGAGUAAAUGCUUAAUAUUGCUUGCUAUCUUGGAUAACUUUCUUUUCUUGUACUGUUCAGUACCCCCAGCCUAGGAGCUGCUGUCACCCAUGUUGUGCUGAGUCUUUGUAUAUCAAGAAACUCUGAGGACAGCUCCCCCCCCCCCAGACAUGUCCACAGGCCAAUCUUAUCUAGACAGCUCUUCAGAAUCUUUCCCAGGCAGUUCUAGAUUCUGGCAAGUUGAUAGUUAAAGAUGACCAAUGCAGAGCCCAUCCAAGAUUCUAAAGAGAAGAUUCAGGUCGGUGAAUCUUUUUGUUUCUUCUCCUUUCCUAUCCAAACCCCAUUGUCAAGCCCAAAAUUCGAAGGGCUUUUGAAGAAUGAGUCUGUAAAUGAUUUUGUACCUAGAUGUCAAGUUUACGAUCCUAGCUAAAAUAUAUGUGCAUCUGGGCAUGGGGGGGAGAUGCUAUUUUCUCCUCUAUACCUCAAGAAUUGGAUACCAUGAGGCCUGUAGCAAGACACCAGCUGGGCUUGAGCUUGUCCUGUCAUCUGUGACUCAUGAGCCUUUUAUGACUUGACAAUGGAUUCUUACCUUAGUAACUACCCCUCAUGUUAAUAGUAGAGUGCAUGGCAAGACAACAUAUUUUAUGCCACUCAAACAAACUGGUCCAACUGCCAGACCAAAAUAAAAUCUCUGAGAUUGCAGGCCCUGUGGAAGCCUGAGGUGUGGGGACUGAAGGGUGGACAGAGAGCAGCAGGCAUCCUGAAAUUUUGUAUGGCUCCUUUAUUCAAGAGUAAACUGGGGUCUUCACUGAAACCCAAUCUGACUCAUGCCAUUGUUGCAGCCACCACCACCACCACCGCUGCUGCUGCUUCUGCUGCUAUCAACUCCUCUGAUAGCAGAGCUAGCAUUUACAGACUAUUAUUAUUAUUAUUAUUAUUACUACUACUACUACUACUACUACUACAACUACUACUACUACUACUACUACUACAACUACAACUACUACUACUACUACUACUACUACUACUACUACUACUACUACUACUACUACUACUACUGACUCCUUACCAUCUUUAUCUGCUGCUCCAGACUUUUGAUACCAUAUUGAAUCUUUCAGAGGCACACAGUCUUGAGGACUGCAGACACACCCAGCCUUGUUGGGUGAUUCUCAGUUUCCACGUGAAAGUCAGCUACUGUAGGAUUACUCUAACUGCUGAGCAACCCCAUCUCAAAGACUGUGUAACAACCAGACUCUUAGCCUCGCUGGUGUUGGACAGCUGUUGUUACUAUUUCAAGACUAAGGCACUAGAAGAUGAAUUGAAGCAUACAGCUUCCCUAGAAAAUGUCUACUGCAGAGAAUUCAAUUGUAAAUGGAUCAAGGACUUUAACACAAGAUCUGAAACCCUGAAACUGUAAGAUGAAAAAAUAAGGAGCCUGCUUCACUUCACAGACACAGGCUGCUCCUUGGUAACAGAGCCUCACUCUUCCAGAGGAAGCUUCACAACCUUGAUCUUGUCCAUGAAGUCGGAGUUGGCAAAUCCGUGCUGAGCAGUGAGGAAAUCAAAUAGAUAUUUUUGUGCACAAAAUGUAAAGAUGCCCCAUUCUUCUGCUGCUUAAGACUCCUACCCAUGUUUCCUGGCUCAUGAGCCCAGUCAUGGAAUGGACUGUCUGCUGUUUCCAACCUGAAGAUAAACUAAAAGUUCCCAGGCAAGCAGAAACUAGCAGCUAAGCGGGCUACAUACUAAAUCCAGUUCAUGUCAUCAACCAGGACAUGGGCAAUCUACCAGUGACCAUCUCCCCAAACAAAGAUGGAUAAAAGUCCCUCAUGGUGGAGAGAAAUGCCAGCCAGCAGCAUGGAAGCAAGAACAGGAAGCAUGGAGUUCACAUCCUGACCCAUGAGCACCAAGAAGAGUCAACAGGAAGUGGACAGAGGCUUUCACUAUCAAGUGCUGCCCCAGUGACAUACUUCCUCCAGGAAAGCCACACCAUAUAAAACUCCCCAAACAGUACCACAGACUGGAGACAAAGCAUUUGAACAUUUGAGCUAUAAAUGGGAGCCUAACUUCAUGCAACACAGCAACUGACAUCCAGAUUUCUCAAGCUACAGAGAGAAUAUAAAAUCAUGCAAGGCCAGCAAGAAAAUGGAGUCCUCUAGUCAGCUGUCUUUCAUUUGUUGCACAACUUCCAAAAUGAAGGAAAGACAGAAAAACAGCCCCUUCAAGUAUCUAAGAAUAAGAAAAAAGCAGCAAUUGGUUUGCUGUCUCUAUUUGCUCUUCAUGACUCUAGGUCCUUCUACCCACUGUCCAGGGUUCUACGUCCUGCAGGAGAUGCCCACACAACCAAGGACAGCUACUUAUGUGGAAAGUCAUCCUUCAUCAAAAGACAUCUUUUGAAAAGAUGCUUAGCUAUGAUGCUGGAAUUUAUAUUUCAUUGUGCAUUGACUUCUCUUAUUAGCCGUAAGUAUGGUUGCAUCAAGUUUGGUUGACUAGAACAUUCUACUGUCUUAAAUCAAGUACUUUUAGCAGCCAAUGACUAUGUCUAGAACUAAAAGAAAAAGUACCAACAUUUAUUUGUGAAGCAAACUAUCCCUGUGCUCUAUGCUUUCCCCUUCCCCAUCUUUACGCUCUGACCUCUGUUCCUCCGGCUCCCCUUUUAUCUCCAGAUGCUAGGCCACUUCCGUGUACCAUAGGAGGUCCAUUUCCCUUCUCUCCAGGCCCCACUAGCUGUCCAAUCUCUCUCUGCCAUUCACCCACUGUUCUCUCAUUACUUUUUUCAAAGUCCUGCACAGUUUGAAUUCCUAAAGAACUACAGCCUGCAGGUGAGAGGUGUGAUUACAGAAUUUUGUGAGGAUGGGGCUAUGCCUUCCUGUCUCAUUUCCAUCUGGAGACAUCUCUGUUCACAAAUCAGGAGCACCCAACCUGCCUCUCUUAUUGAGUAUCUUCACCAAAGUAAUUCUACAGAGAAAUCCUUUCCUUAGCCUGUGGACUUAUGGAAGUGCUCGUGUUCUUGGAGCAUACUUAAUUUUUAGCUGCCUAGCAGCAGAAUCUAGAGCAUUCAUAAUAAGACUUUGCUUUGUCAGCUCUGACUUCCAAGAACCUACAUGGAGAUGUUAAAAACAGGGCAUGCCUUGUUUCAAUUCUGUUCGUGUGAGAUUUUUGUUUCCCUUUUGAUAACUUCUGUAAUCAUUUCUUUGUGCUGAAUAUUUUAGAAGAAACAGUUUUUUUUCUGGUUUUGUUGGAGAAACAUGUGGGAUAUUUUUCUUUAUUUUUUGAGAAUUUCAUUUGUAUCUGAUACUGUCACUGGAGAGGGCUUCCAAGUGAGUAAAAGCAACAGGCAGCUAUGGAAGAAGUUCCAUCAGCAAUACUAGCAUGAUACACAUAAUGUAACAAUUCAUAUCAUAUAUAUUAGGAUGCAUAUGCAAAUUUCAUGCUGCACUUCCCAGAUAUGUGUACUCUACAAGGCUUGUAUAAGAUCAAGCCAGCCCAAAUCAUAGCAUGAAUGGAGGAGGGGUUCAUGGAGAUGAAAUUAGCUGAGACGUGAUUGACAGCUGAUGGGUGCUUGGGGAGGAGAGUCAGGUUGCUUUAGGGAUGUAGUCCCUGAGGACCUGCCCACAUUCCAGUAGAUUCUAAUAGACCCUUGUACAUAUAGGCAAUACUAAAUGAGCUCAGUGAGAAGAAGGGUGGGG